RNAcentral lists this transfer RNA (74 nucleotides) under Candidatus Roizmanbacteria bacterium RIFCSPLOWO2_01_FULL_38_11. RNAcentral's name for it is "tRNA-Gln". It matches the Rfam family "tRNA". From Rfam's summary of the family: Transfer RNA (tRNA) molecules are approximately 80 nucleotides in length. Their secondary structure includes four short double-helical elements and three loops (D, anti-codon, and T loops). Further hydrogen bonds mediate the characteristic L-shaped molecular structure. tRNAs have two regions of fundamental functional importance: the anti-codon, which is responsible for specific mRNA codon recognition, and the 3' end, to which the tRNAs corresponding amino acid is attached (by aminoacyl-tRNA synthetases). tRNAs cope with the degeneracy of the genetic code in two manners: having more than one tRNA (with a specific anti-codon) for a particular amino acid; and 'wobble' base-pairing, i.e. permitting non-standard base-pairing at the 3rd anti-codon position. Lineage: Bacteria; Candidatus Roizmaniibacteriota. The record is from RNAcentral.
UGCGGGGUCGUCUAAUGGUAGGACUCGGCGCUCUGGACGCCGGUAUCGGGGUUCAAAUCCCUGCCCCGCAGCCA